UGCGUAGGCGGUCCGGGAAGUUGGGUGUGAAAUACCUCGGCUCAACCGAGGAACUGCGCCCAAAACUGCCGGGCUGGAGGGAGACAUAGGUGUGCGGAACUUAGGGUGGAGCGGUGAAAUGCGUUGAGAUCCUAGGGAACACCAGUAGCGAAAGCGGCACACUGGGUCUUUUCUGACGCUGAUGCACGAAAGCUAGGGGAGCGAAGAGGAUUAGAUACCCUCGUAGUCCUAGCCGUAAACGAUGAGCACUGGUUUGGAGGCUCCUCCAUAGGCUUCCAGACGUAGCGAAAGUGUUAAGUGCUCCGCCUGGGGAGUAUGGUCGCAAGGCUGAA
RNAcentral lists this ribosomal RNA (332 nucleotides) under uncultured bacterium. RNAcentral's name for it is "bacterial SSU rRNA". It matches the Rfam family "Bacterial small subunit ribosomal RNA", at positions 568 to 898 of the family's 1533-position model. The record is from RNAcentral.